RNAcentral lists this long non-coding RNA (2684 nucleotides) under Mytilus galloprovincialis (Mediterranean mussel). The record is from RNAcentral. Lineage: Eukaryota; Metazoa; Mollusca; Bivalvia; Mytilida; Mytilidae.
UGGGAUUGGGUCACAUGUUUGGUCAAAAUAGGUUGGCAAAUCAUUUAAAUAUAUAUUAAAGAGACAGGGACUGAGAUUAUCCCCUUGUCUUACUCCUAUAUUUGAUUUAAAAAGGUUUGUCCUGUGUUGGUCUAUUUUCACACAAGUUUCUGUGUUUUCAUACAUACAUUUUAUAAUGUCAUAAAAUUUUGUUCCAACACCUAUACAUUUAAGUUUGUAAAAAAAGGUGGAGAUGUGAAACUGAAUCAAAUGCACGCUUAAAAUCUACAAAGCAUGCAUACAGAGGCUUCGAAUUAUUUUUCACAAAUUUUUGAAUGAUGGUAUUUAACACAUACAUAUGGUCUGUUGUGCGACAUCCUUUAGUAAAACCAAUUUGCUCACUUCUAAUUAUAUUUCUAGUUUUUAAAAAUUUUGUCAACCUGUUAUUUAGAAUUGAAUUAAAUAACUUGCCUAUGUUAUCUGCAAUAGUAAUGCCCCUGUAGUUUGAUGGAUCAUGUUUAGAUCCAGACUUGUGAAGGGGGGUGAUAAAGCCUUGGCCCCAUAAUUUUGGAUAAAUACUACUGGAAAAUACUAAAUUAAAGAGUUUUUGUAUUAGAGGGAUACAAACGGUUUGGCUAUAUUUUAUCAUUUCAUUCGAGAUCAUGCUGAAUCCACUCGAUUUAGAAUUCUUAAGACUUUUUAUUGCUUUUUCUAUUUCCUCAGGUGUUAUUAAGUAGUCAAGUUCAUUAAAAACAUUUUCAUUAUGGAAUGAUUCAAGUUUCUUCUUAAUCAAAUCAUCACUAUAUUGUUCAUUCUUAUUUAAUUUUUGAAAGUAUUCUUGCCAUUCAGAUGGGUCGAUAGUAUUCUCAGAUUUGUUUUGACUAUUAUUUGAGAUAUUUUUAAUUUUAUCUAGUAGUUGCCAAUAGGCUUUGGGAUUUUGAUCAUAUAAAUUAUCGAGUUUAUUCAUGAUGUCUUGUUUGAAUUUUCUUAUUUUUGCUCUUCUUUGUUUUCGAUAUGAUUUCAGGCAUUUAAAAAAGGACCCUCGUAUAUAAGGAUCUGUGUUGUGAUUUUGCAUUAAUUUGUAUUUUCGAUAUAAGUUUUGUUUUAAAUUUAUUAUAUCUUGAUCUUGCCAUUCUCUAUUCUUUUUAAUUUUCUUCUUCUUGCUUUUUUUGGGUUUUCUAAUAAUUUUCUUUAGUGAUAAAUCUGCGGCUUUUAGAAAAAUCUUAUUUAAAUCUUCUGCGGCAUUAUUAAUUGAAUCUUGGUCAUAAAUUUUAUCUUUAUACUGUCUAAUAAAAUUUUUGAUUUCAUUUGAAUUUAUGGCAUCUUGAAAUGCUGAGACUGAGUUAUCAUCCCAUAUAUAUUUAUCUGGCAUUAAAGCUAGAUUUAAGUUUCUUUCAUAAAUUUUUGUGUUGCAUUUUAACAUGCAUGAGAUCUGACAAUGAUCUGAGAAAUCAGGUAAAAAAUUAUGAGUGUGAAAAUAUGUGAAAUUUGGUAAGAGUUCCUCAGAUGCUAAAAAAUAAUCAACAACACUACUUCCUAAAGGUUGGAAGCAAGUGUGUGCACCCAUUAAAUCACCCAUUGUUCUGCCAUUAAGGAUACGCAAUGAUGAAGAUAUACAUAGAGAUAGGAGUUGUCUGCCCCUAGUGUUAAUAGAACUAUCUUUACUUUUUCUUUGAAUUAGACUAGAAUCACAUUUGUAAUUGUCAAAUAAUGGAAUAUGUUUGUCUGAAUCCAUUUGGAUAUGAUCAAUUUCACAAGCAGUUCUUGCAUUUAAAUCUCCUGCUAUCAUGAUUUUUCCUGAUUGGGAAUAUUUUACUAUAUCAUUUUCAAUCAUUUCAAGAAUAUUAUAAUCCAAUUUUCUAUAGUAGGAAGAAUUUUCAGGUGGAUUGUAUACAAAACAAAUGUAUAAAUCUUCCUGAAACCCGAAGAAUGUUCUGUCUAACUUUAACCAUAUAAAAUCAUUUGUGGCAUGUUCUAAAAAUUUAACACCCGGUCUUAUUGUAUUAAGUAUAUAUACUGACAAGCCACCAUGUCUUUUCCCACUAGGUUUGGUUCUAGGUCUUAUAAGAUGAACCGGUCUUUGAAAAUUUGGAAGUUCUAAACAAUUAUCCAGAUCACAGUGGGUUUCUUGCAAGCAAAAAAUGUCUUGCUGUAAAAGAUUGUCAACAAAAAUAUCAUCUUCAAAUUUGUUAAAUCCCUUACUAAUAUAACCAUUGAUAUUCCAUGUUGAAAUUUUCAAGUUUUUUUUUGUAUAAAUCAUGUGUGCUUACAAUGAUCAAUAAAAUAAGCAUACACUAAAACCAGUAAAUAUAAGUCAUAAAAAUAUGAGUUGCAUGUAACUGUGUACUACAGAGAUUUGUGAUGUAUAAAAUAAAGUACAUAUAUAUAUUUCUUUAUAUUCAUAAAAUUGUACAUUUUCUUAGGAAAUGUAUACAUAUAUCAGUUGUUGCGUGUGUGUACAUACAUGUAUUUCUAUAAUUUAUAGAUUCGCACAAUAUUUAUGUCUGAAGAUAUUGUAUACAGACUCUCUCUGUAGAGGAGAAGAGUUAAUAAUAAAAAUCAAAAAUUGUUACUUAUGAUAUACAUUUAUAAUAUAAUUCUUUUUUUUUUUUUUCUUUAAAAUCUAGUUCUCAUUCAUGUAUCUUUUAACAUGUUUUACAAAAUAAAAAAGUCAGUGUCAUGAUGGUCUUUUUAACUAACUUUAU